RNAcentral lists this ribosomal RNA (514 nucleotides) under Isthmura boneti (Oaxacan false brook salamander). RNAcentral's name for it is "partial 16S ribosomal RNA". It matches the Rfam family "Bacterial large subunit ribosomal RNA", at positions 1817 to 2597 of the family's 2925-position model. The record is from RNAcentral. Lineage: Eukaryota; Metazoa; Chordata; Amphibia; Caudata; Plethodontidae.
CGCCUUUUGAACUAUGAACAUAAAAGGUCCUGCCUGCCCAGUGACAUUGAUUUAACGGCCGCGGUAUCAUGACCGUGCAAAGGUAGCGUAAUCACUUGUCUUUUAAAUAAAGACCAGUAUGAAUGGCAAAACGAAAGCCAAACUGUCUCCCCAGAUCAGUCAAUGAAAUUGAUAUUCCCGUGCAGAAGCGGGAAUAAUACUAUAAGACGAGAAGACCCUGUGGAGCUUCAAACUUAAGCUAACAAACUAUAAAUGCUUUAGCACCCAGUUUUAGGUUGGGGCGACCACGAGGUAAAACACAACCCUCGAGACAAGAACUAAGAAGGACACUUCAAAUAAUAACAAUAUAAUUGACCCAAUAAUUGAUCAACGAACCAAGUUACCCCAGGGAUAACAGCGCAAUCUACUCAAAGAGCCCAUAUCGACGAGCAGGUUUACGACCUCGAUGUUGGAUCAGGACCCCCCAAUAACGCAACAGCUAUUAAAGGUUCGUNUNNUCAACGAUUAAAGUCCU